UCAUCUUGCGACGCCGUGAGC
RNAcentral lists this unclassified non-coding RNA (21 nucleotides) under Chlamydomonas reinhardtii. Its description in RNAcentral is "small RNA Cre_2526". The record is from RNAcentral. Lineage: Eukaryota; Viridiplantae; Chlorophyta; Chlorophyceae; Chlamydomonadales; Chlamydomonadaceae.